GCAGCACUGUGGGCUUGACCCAGAACCCACUGAAGUUAAGGGCAGAGUCCCGUUAGCUUCUGUGGGCUGUAGGUCAGGCUCCACGUGUUAU
Molecule: microRNA precursor, 91 nt
Filed under: Alligator mississippiensis (American alligator)
Lineage: Eukaryota; Metazoa; Chordata; Crocodylia; Alligatoridae
Description: microRNA ami-mir-1677c precursor
Source: miRBase by way of RNAcentral